This 485-nucleotide ribosomal RNA is filed under the name uncultured bacterium. RNAcentral's name for it is "bacterial SSU rRNA". It matches the Rfam family "Bacterial small subunit ribosomal RNA", at positions 30 to 507 of the family's 1533-position model. The record is from RNAcentral.
AUUGAACGCUGGCGGCAUGCUUUACACAUGCAAGUCGAACGGUAACAGGGAGCUUGCUCCGCUGACGAGUGGCGAACGGGUGAGUAAUGCAUCGGAACGUGCCUAUUUGUGGGGGAUAACGUAGCGAAAGUUACGCUAAUACCGCAUACGCCCUGAGGGGGAAAGCGGGGGAUUCGUAAGAACCUCGCGCAAUUAGAGCGGCCGAUGUCGGAUUAGCUAGUUGGUGGGGUAAAGGCUCACCAAGGCGACGAUCAGUAGCUGGUCUGAGAGGACGAUCAGCCACACUGGGACUGAGACACGGCCCAGACUCCUACGGGAGGCAGCAGUGGGGAAUUUUGGACAAUGGGGGAAACCCUGACCCAGCAAUGCCGCGUGAGUGAAGAAGGCCUUCGGGUUGUAAAGCUCUUUUGUCAGGGAAGAAACACCGGCUCUAACACAGUCCGGGAAUGACGGUACCUGAAGAAUAAGCACCGGCUAACUACGUG